Molecule: ribosomal RNA, 460 nt
Filed under: uncultured bacterium
Lineage: Bacteria
Description: partial 16S ribosomal RNA
Rfam family: Bacterial small subunit ribosomal RNA
Source: RNAcentral
CCUACGGGAGGCAGCAGUGAGGAAUAUUGGUCAAUGGACGAGAGUCUGAACCAGCCAAGUAGCGUGAAGGAUGACUGCCCUAUGGGUUGUAAACUUCGUUUAUAUGGGAAUAAAAUGUUCCACGUGUGGGAUUUUGUAUGUACCAUAUGAAUAAGGAUCGGCUAACUCCGUGCCAGCAGCCGCGGUAAUACGGAGGAUCCGAGCGUUAUCCGGAUUUAUUGGGUUUAAAGGGAGCGUAGGUGGAUUGUUAAGUCAGUUGUGAAAGUUUGCGGCUCAACCGUAAAAUUGCAGUUGAAACUGGCAGUCUUGAGUGCAGUAGAGGUGGGCGGAAUUCGUGGUGUAGCGGUGAAAUGCUUAGAUAUCACGAAGAACUCCGAUUGCGAAGGCAGUUCACUGGACUGCAACUGACACUGAGGCUCGAAAGUGUGGGUAUCAAACAGGAUUAGAUACCCCAGUAGUC